AUUGAACGCUGGCGGCAGUCCUAACACAUGCAAGUCGAACGCGUGGCGGACGGGUGAGUAAUGUCGGGGAAACUGCCCGAUGGAGGGGGAUCACUACUGGAAACUGUAGCUAAUACCGCAUUCCAUCGGAUAUGCCCAGAGGGGAUUCGCUUGUAGGUGGGGUAAUGGCUCACCUAGGCGACGAUCCCGAGCUGGUCUGAGAGGAUGACCAGCCAGACUGGGACUGAGACACGGUCCAUACUCCUACGGGAGGCAGCAGUGGGAAAUAUUGCACAAUGGGCGCAAGCCUGAUGCAGCCAGGCCGCGUGUAUGAAGAAGGCCUUCGGGUUGUAAAGUACUUUCAGCGGGGAGGCGUUACCCGCAGAAGAAGCACCGGCUAACUCCGUGCCAGCCGCCGCGGUAAUAC
Molecule: ribosomal RNA, 406 nt
Filed under: uncultured bacterium
Lineage: Bacteria
Description: partial 16S ribosomal RNA
Rfam family: Bacterial small subunit ribosomal RNA
Source: RNAcentral